CAUUGUCUAGGGCUGAGAAGGACUGCCUCUGACCUUGUGCCCACUAAUUGUGUGGUACUAUAUGCUGCCCUGCUGCUGUGGAUGUUCAGAUAUGUACCCGGGUUCAAAGACAGUAUUCCAGGUGGCUCAAAGAAUUCUUAGAGUUUGUGCUCAUGACAGGUAUGUCACUGAUUUUUCAUCUGAAUUACUAUAUUUAUAGUUCAGUAAGCCUUUAUAGUUGGAUCUACAUUCUGUAACUAGG
Molecule: long non-coding RNA, 241 nt
Filed under: Dromaius novaehollandiae (emu)
Lineage: Eukaryota; Metazoa; Chordata; Aves; Casuariiformes; Dromaiidae
Description: lncRNA (ENSDNVG00000009758.1)
Source: RNAcentral